This 485-nucleotide long non-coding RNA is filed under the name Crocodylus porosus (Australian saltwater crocodile). RNAcentral's name for it is "lncRNA (ENSCPRG00005000471.1)". Lineage: Eukaryota; Metazoa; Chordata; Crocodylia; Crocodylidae. The record is from RNAcentral.
GUGGGGCUAUGUGAGCUGAAUCUGGAUCAUGGGCUGUCAUUUUGUACCCCGUUCUACAUUAUCAGACUGGGUUCUUUAAAGACUGACUUUGGCUCUGUUUCUCUAUUAAGGAAGCCCUGUAUACCAAGAUGAUGCUGUAUAAUGUAGGGUAAAAAGAGACAAGUUCAAAGAUUCAUUUUGUCCUGCUAAAGCAUUGGCUGCCAUUGACUCAUCCCAACUCUAUCAGUUCCUUCAUGUAAGAGAGAACAGACCUAACUGAAGCUAAUGGAUCAAAGUUCUGCCAGUGCAGGGAAGAGAAUUUGGUGCCCCCACAUCAGUACAAAGGCUGCAGUGGUAACAGGAUUAAAGUCAGCAUCAGAAUAGAAGAUCUCUUUUCUGUUACAUGACUUGUCAAGCAGAAGUUUUCAGGCAACUUUCCAUGUGUCCAGAACAUUAAACAGAAUUUUUAAAAAAUGUAUCCAUGGAUAAAUUCAUUUAAGUUGCGG